Molecule: long non-coding RNA, 471 nt
Organism: Helianthus annuus (common sunflower)
Lineage: Eukaryota; Viridiplantae; Streptophyta; Magnoliopsida; Asterales; Asteraceae
Exons: 3
Source: RefSeq, a predicted model, not a curated record
AAGAACAGGGGAGCAAACCCUUGUUCAAUUUUAAUCCAUCAAAUUGAAGGGCAAUUUGAGCCUUGAUUUCGUACAUGAACGCAUAUCAACGAUCACCUAAACUAGGGAAUCACAAGGCAAUUUGGGUGAAGCAUCAAGUGGUCAAGCCGGGGCGGACACGCGCUUGAAAGGAAAGCUUGAAGAUACGUGGCUUUAUCCUUCGUAGUAUUUGUUAAAUUUAUUUGUCAUUGGUGAAUAUUGAACGAGGAAGUAACACUCAUGAAGUUCAGUCCAUUCAUAAGUGAUAAAUUUCAUACGAAUGAAGCGAAUCGAUAAAUAAAAAGGUGGUUGUUAUGAAGUCACGUAUGAUGAUCAAGCAUAGUGAUGAACCGGGCACAAUCUAAGAUCAAGCUUCCGCGUUUUAUUUAGUACUUUGUGAAACCAAACAUCGUUAAAAUGUAGUAAUGCUUUCGAAUACUUAUGAAGUUUUAA